CCCUGGUCCUCCCUACUGCCUCUGAUCUGGAGGACUCACUAAACAGAGAACAUCCCUGGUCAUCCCUACUGCCUCUGAUCUGGAGGACUCACUAAACAGAGAACAUCCCUGGUCAUCCCUACUGCCUCUGAUCUGGAGGACUCACUAAACACAUGCUUCAUUUGUAAAUGAUGUCUGAUUGUUGGAGUGUUCCCCUGGUUAUUUCUUAAAUAAAAUAACAAGAGAAUCGUGCUGUCUGGUUUGCUUAAUAUAUGGAAGGUCAAAUCAUUUAUACUUUUACCACUGAUACUUAAGUAUAUUUUAGCAAUGACGUUUACUUAGUAUUUUACUGGGUGACUUUCACUUUUACUUGAGUCAUUUUCUAUUAACAUAUUAUUAUUGUACCUUUUUCCCUUCAUUUGCCUACUACUGUGUAUAAGCUGUCAUAACAUGUGGGUCUUUUCAUGGGGACCAGGUAUCGGAACGCCUUUGAAGGGUCUACAAAGCCCCCAGGUAAAAGUUGGCUUUUGCAGACAAGGAUUGUAUUGUUACUCCACGACAUAAUAUGUUAUCACAACUCUAUUAAAAGGACAUUCUACACAAGGUGUCACUUCAUUCCUUCUAUUUGAUGGGAACUCCUGGUUAGGAAUGGGGAACGAGUGCUCUCUCUGGGGAAAAAACAUGUUUAUACCUAUGCAGUACCUUUAGCAUUAAUAAACCUCUACUUUAGUAAAGUUAAUAAUUAUGACAGGUGUGUUGUAAUAAAAAUGAGUGGUGUCCACUGACUAAAUGCAGUCUUUCUGGAAAACCCAGAUAUUCACAAAGUGUUUGAUGAAUGACACGUUGCUUCUUCAUGCAAAAUAGAUUUGGACUUUAAAAUUCAAUUAAGCUGCUUUAUUUUCAGGGUUUAGUGAAGGUGGGUCAUUUUUUACCCUUGGGACAAUGGGAGUAAACAGACUGUUAAGACUACACAAGGGUUAAGUCAAGUAUUUACAAGGUGUCUAGUCAUUUCUGGUCGUUAAUGUCUAAUUGACCACACAUUAGUGCAAGUUGAAGUGUUGUCAGUGCUACACAGGUGUCUGUAGUCUAGGUGCUCGUUAUAAGUGCUUGAAAUCAUUUAUUGCCGUGUUUCCUAGCAUCAAGACUGUGAUCGAAGGGUGAAUUGUGACUGAAUUACUGAGCUACAAAUAAUAUUAAGUAGUUAUUUAUAAGUCAAGGUUACUCUACAUCACUCUCGACUCGCCUUGAAAGUCAUCUGCAAUGUGGAACGUCCAACAAUUCAUUGACACAGUUGUGACUGACUCCUUCAUAGCCGUCGGCCAGCUCUUUCACAUCCACCAUCUAAUUGAGGUGAAAGGACAGAAAUGUUGAAAGUGUGUUUUCUGCAGCACCAGUAACCUCAAGAUACUUCACUCACUACAGCUGCUUUUGAAGAACUUUCCAGGUGUUUGUGAUUUACAUUCCGACUUUUGAAAUGUCUCCUUGAUUGGACAUAUUUAGCUAAUAAAAAAGAACAAUAUAUAAAGCAUGCAUCUGUUUUAAGGUUAUUGUGUUUGUGUGUGUGGUGUAGUUCCUCUUGGUGUCCACUAGGUGGCAUUACAGUUUCAAUAUUGU
Molecule: non-coding RNA, 1593 nt
Organism: Salmo salar (Atlantic salmon)
Lineage: Eukaryota; Metazoa; Chordata; Actinopteri; Salmoniformes; Salmonidae
Source: RefSeq, a predicted model, not a curated record